GGGGAAUAUUGGACAAUGGGCGAAAGCCUGAUCCAGCCAUGCCGCGUGUGUGAAGAAGGUCUUCGGAUUGUAAAGCACUUUAAGUUGGGAGGAAGGGCAGUAAGUUAAUACCUUGCUGUUUUGACGUUACCAACAGAAUAAGCACCGGCUAACUUCGUGCCAGCAGCCGCGGUAAUACGAAGGGUGCAAGCGUUAAUCGGAAUUACUGGGCGUAAAGCGCGCGUAGGCGGCUUUGCAAGUCGGGUGUGAAAUCCCUGGGCUUAACCUAGGAACUGCACUCGAGACUGCAUUGCUAGAGUAUGGUAGAGGGAAGUGGAAUUUCCGGUGUAGCGGUGAAAUGCGUAGAUAUCGGAAGGAACACCAGUGGCGAAAGCGACUUCCUGGACCAAUACUGACGCUCAGGCGCGAAAGCGUGGGGAGCAAACA
Molecule: ribosomal RNA, 426 nt
Filed under: uncultured Gammaproteobacteria bacterium
Lineage: Bacteria; Pseudomonadati; Pseudomonadota; Gammaproteobacteria
Description: bacterial SSU rRNA
Rfam family: Bacterial small subunit ribosomal RNA
Source: RNAcentral